RNAcentral lists this ribosomal RNA (523 nucleotides) under uncultured bacterium. Its description in RNAcentral is "bacterial SSU rRNA". It matches the Rfam family "Bacterial small subunit ribosomal RNA", at positions 8 to 525 of the family's 1533-position model. The record is from RNAcentral.
AGAGUUUGAUCCUGGCUCAGAUUGAACGCUGGCGGCAGGCUUAACACAUGCAAGUCGAGCGGGGAAAGGUAGCUUGCUACCUGACCUAGCGGCGGACGGGUGAGUAAUGCUUAGGAAUCUGCCUAUUAGUGGGGGACAACAUUCCGAAAGGAAUGCUAAUACCGCAUACGCCCUACGGGGGAAAGCAGGGGAUCUUCGGACCUUGCGCUAAUAGAUGAGCCUAAGUCAGAUUAGCUAGUUGGUGGGGUAAAGGCCUACCAAGGCGACGAUCUGUAGCGGGUCUGAGAGGAUGAUCCGCCACACUGGGACUGAGACACGGCCCAGACUCCUACGGGAGGCAGCGGUGGGGAAUAUUGGACAAUGGGCGCAAGCCUGAUCCAGCCACGCCGCGUGUGUGAAGAAGGCCUUUUGGUUGUAAAGCACUUUAAGCGAGGAGGAGGCUACCGAGAUUAAUACUCUUGGAUAGUGGACGUUACUCGCAGAAUAAGCACCGGCUAACUCUGUGCCAGCAGCCGCGGUAAUA